UACGAAGGGGGCUAGCGUUGUUCGGAAUCACUGGGCGUAAAGGGCGCGUAGGCGGCUUUAUAAGUCGGGGGUGAAAGCCUGUGGCUCAACCACAGAAUUGCCUUCGAUACUGUAGAGCUUGAGACCGGAAGAGGUAAGUGGAACUGCGAGUGUAGAGGUGAAAUUCGUAGAUAUUCGCAAGAACACCAGUGGCGAAGGCGGCUUACUGGUCCGGUUCUGACGCUGAGGCGCGAAAGCGUGGGUAGCGAACAGG
RNAcentral lists this ribosomal RNA (253 nucleotides) under uncultured bacterium. Its description in RNAcentral is "partial 16S ribosomal RNA". It matches the Rfam family "Bacterial small subunit ribosomal RNA", at positions 524 to 776 of the family's 1533-position model. The record is from RNAcentral.